Molecule: ribosomal RNA, 881 nt
Filed under: Coriomeris affinis
Lineage: Eukaryota; Metazoa; Arthropoda; Insecta; Hemiptera; Coreidae
Description: partial large subunit ribosomal RNA
Rfam family: Eukaryotic large subunit ribosomal RNA (bases 469-881)
Source: RNAcentral
CCGAAACGAGAGAUUCACGUCUUCUCGAAGGAGUCGACCUCCGUCGGGAGGAUGGCCUAACGCCCCGUCCGGCUCGUCCGUGGCGGUGGGUAGGCUGCCUCCCGCGGGGUGUUCGGCUUCUCGGGGGCCCGCACUUCUCUCGCAGUAGGACGUCGCGACCCGCUCUGCGGCGGUCUAACGGCCGGAAGAUUGCCUGGCCGGGGCCCAUCUCUCGGGGUGGGUUCUCGACCAGAUCUCCGGAUCCGCGGCCGUCGGUCCGGGCGGUAUGAAACGACUUUAGCGCUGGGCCGCUCCUCGAGAGCGCCGAGCCUCCCCGCAAGCUCGGGUUGGGAUGCCGGGUCGUGCCCUCACGGGUACGCUCGGCGCCCGCCCGGACUGUUGGCGGGUGACGGCUCCGGCUGUCCGUCCAGCACGCUUGUCGGCGGCGCUUCAGAUUCGGGCACUUAUCCGACCCGUCUUGAAACACGGACCAAGGAGUCUAGCGUGUGCGCGAGUCAUUGGGUGUAAAACCUAAAGGCGUAAUGAAAGUGUCAGAGGGCGCCCCGCGCCCUCAGUGGGAGGAUGGGCUCCCGGACCUCCGUCCGGUGCCCCGCACUCCCGGGGCGUUUCAUUCUCAUUGCGAGUCGAGACGCACCAGGAGCGCACACGCUGGUACCCGAAAGAUGGUGAACUAUGCCUGGCCAGGACGAAGCCAGGGGAAACCCUGGUGGAGGUCCGAAGCGAUUCUGACGUGCAAAUCGAUCGUCUGAGCUGGGUAUAGGGGCGAAAGACCAAUCGAACCAUCUAGUAGCUGGUUCCCUCCGAAGUUUCCCUCAGGAUAGCUGGCUCUCGGGAAGAGACGAGUCUCAUCCGGUAGAGCGAAUGAUUAGAGGUGAUGGGGU